AUGUACAUGCCUACAACAUAGUGUUAAUGCAUCAGAUCCCAUUAGAACUCCACAGUUAAGCGUGCUUUGGCUAGAGUAGUACAGAGAUGGGUGACCGCUCGGAAAGUCCUAGUGUUUUACAUG
Molecule: non-coding RNA, 123 nt
Organism: Picea glauca (white spruce)
Lineage: Eukaryota; Viridiplantae; Streptophyta; Pinopsida; Pinales; Pinaceae
Source: Rfam